Molecule: small RNA, 543 nt
Filed under: Histoplasma capsulatum var. duboisii H88
Lineage: Eukaryota; Fungi; Ascomycota; Eurotiomycetes; Onygenales; Ajellomycetaceae
Description: Histoplasma capsulatum H88 hypothetical RNA
Source: RNAcentral
UGGCAGUCGUACCCAUACCUGUACCCGCGGGUGACGUUUGAGAUAUAAAACUGCUCAUCUAUGGUAUACAACGGGAUGGAGAGCUUUAUAUCGACGAUGGAGACUAGUUCGUUAUCUGGGAUGAAUGUUGCCGGGUUGAUAUUGUCUGAGUGGGUUUCAAAGUUUGAGACGAAGCUGAAGAAGUUCGAGGACGGCGUUGGGCUCUAAACUUUUGUUCUAAUUCACUUCGUCUCGUCUUUUUCGCCAGGAUUUGGAGUAUACGGGGUUACAGGAACGGGAAAGACAUCAAGGUGUUUUCUUCAGUUCAUGGUUAAUAAUGAUUUCUUUCUCUUUGUUUUGGGAAGAAGGGGUCUUCUGGGCCGAUGUCUUUCAUUUCUCGUUGUAGUAGCGGAUGUCAUCCUUGGUUAGUAGUUAGCUAUUUUUAUUAUUAGAUCUGGCCCUAUGAUCCACUUUUCCUUUCGACUCUCCCUUGGCAUAGCCGGGGUGACGAAAGGCGUUGGAUCACCUGAAAUCGUCAUCAUCAUUAUCACCGUUAUCACUAUC